UUCGGGGUUUAUAAAGAAUUUUGAUAAGCUUGUCUUGCUUAGGGGUUGUUCUUUGUGU
Molecule: transfer RNA, 58 nt
Filed under: Paratenuisentis ambiguus
Lineage: Eukaryota; Metazoa; Acanthocephala; Eoacanthocephala; Neoechinorhynchida; Tenuisentidae
Description: transfer RNA-Asp
Source: RNAcentral